This 122-nucleotide ribosomal RNA is filed under the name Sinocyclocheilus rhinocerous. The record is from RNAcentral. Lineage: Eukaryota; Metazoa; Chordata; Actinopteri; Cypriniformes; Cyprinidae.
UUUUCCAGAUCAGUUUACUGUUUGCCCAGUAGACUGGUUGCCCACUGAAGCUAAGCAGGGUUGAGCCUGGUCAGUACCUGGAUGGGAGACCUCCUGGGAAAACUAGUUUGCUGCUGGAAGAG